GGGCAGAUGAGAGUACACACUAGAGAUAAUGGCAGUAAACCCAUGCAGAAUUGAACGCCUCCCAAGAGAUCUCUGCAUAUACCAGCAUCUGCUCCCCAGCCACAUCUAUGACAAAAAGAAAUGACAGUGGAAGCCAAGUACUGAAUUGGAAGUUGGCAACAGAAGCUCAGGCUGCAUUCACCUGACUGACAUACUGAACCUCAGUUCCAAACCAGUCUCCUCUCUUUGUAGGUGAUAAGAUGGUGCAAUUCUCUACAGACCAUUGAGGGAUGCUGAAAAUGCCCCAACAUUUUACAGGCCAUGGAGAGAUCUCAUGUACAGACUUGUUCUGAACCACAAAGUUUAUUUUUUGGGAAAAGCACAGAAUGUGUUUAAAAUUGCCCACUAGAAUUGCAUGGACAAUGUUGCCUUCUUUUAUCAGAUAUGAGAAACCCAGAGGAGAGUAAUAGUAGGGUCAGCCAUUUGAUUAUAACAUUACAAAGGUUAUGCAACAGGUUUACACAAGUAUGUGUGAAGCCAUCAAUACAUAAAGCUGCUUGGCGUUGUGGACUAGCACUACUGUGCUUACAGAAUGAGUAUGAUGAUGAACAUGAUGAUCAUGAUGAUACUUUUGGUGCUGCUACUGAUGGCAAUGCAGUGGACCUGUCAUGGACCUGUAGUAUUUUUUUUUUUUUUUUGACCAGUGUCUCUUGUCCACACAUUCAUAGUUAGGUGGAUAGUGGGCAUAAUAUUAUUUUUAAGGGAAGAAAUUACUUUGGCUUUGACUUCUCUGUAUAGCUUUGGCAUUGCUGUUUCAGAGAGAUGGAAAAGACAUGGAAUUUGGUGGCAUGGGAACAUGACCUCUACCAAUCAGCUGAAUCCUGUUGUGUUCAUUGCAGAUAUUGGGUGAAGAUCAAGUGCCAACAUAGCUGUUAUGGCUUUGGUGAAUGGGUUGAUGGCUGUCAUA
Long non-coding RNA from Pseudophryne corroboree (corroboree frog), 946 nucleotides. RefSeq lists it as uncharacterized. Lineage: Eukaryota; Metazoa; Chordata; Amphibia; Anura; Myobatrachidae. The record is from RefSeq and is a predicted model, not a curated record. The transcript has 3 exons.